AAUGAGAGAAUGACAAAUCAGAUUUUUUCUCCUGAUUUUCCGCCUAAAAAAAUUUCAAAUCUAACUAAAAAUGCUAAAAAUUAGGAGGAAAAAUAUGAUUUGUCAUCCUCCCAUU
Gossypium hirsutum (cotton) is the source of this 115-nucleotide non-coding RNA. Lineage: Eukaryota; Viridiplantae; Streptophyta; Magnoliopsida; Malvales; Malvaceae. The record is from Rfam.